CCUACGGGUGGCAGCAGUGAGGAAUAUUGGUCAAUGGCCGGAAGGCUGAACCAGCCAAGCCGCGUGAAGGACGAAGGUGCCAAGCAUUGUAAACUUCUUUUGACAAGGGACAAAAUCAGGCUCGAGAGCAUGACCGAGGGUACUUGAAGAAAAAGGAUCGGCUAACUCCGUGCCAGCAGCAGCGUUAAUACGGAGGAUGCGAGCGUUAUCCGGAUUUAUUGGGGUGAAAGGGUGCGAAGGCGGAUGUUUAAGUCAGCGGUAAAAGCCCGGGGCGAAACCCCGGCGCGCCUUUGAAACUGGCUGUCUUGAGAUGUCUAGAGGUAUGCGGAAUGCGCAGUGUAGCGGUGAAAUGCUUAGAUAUUGCGCAGAACUCCGAUUGCGAAGGCAGCAUACCGGCGGCGAUCUGACGCUGAGGCACGAAAGCGUGGGUAUCGAACAGGAUUAGAUACCCCUGUAGUC
Molecule: ribosomal RNA, 459 nt
Filed under: uncultured bacterium
Lineage: Bacteria
Description: partial 16S ribosomal RNA
Rfam family: Bacterial small subunit ribosomal RNA
Source: RNAcentral